UUUUGUAAAAGGCGAACCCUCCGAAAGCUGGGGACGCAAAGUCACAGGUCUUCCAUGGCAGCAUGAUGACGGCUGGACUGCCUGC
Molecule: non-coding RNA, 85 nt
Filed under: Lentibacillus amyloliquefaciens
Lineage: Bacteria; Bacillati; Bacillota; Bacilli; Caryophanales; Bacillaceae
Description: c-di-GMP sequence
Rfam family: c-di-GMP-I riboswitch aptamer
About the family: GEMM was predicted in a large-scale screen for bacterial structured RNA regulatory elements. Genes associated with GEMM are involved in a diverse array of functions, including chemotaxis regulation, signal transduction, secretion and chitin.
Source: Rfam by way of RNAcentral